RNAcentral lists this transfer RNA (72 nucleotides) under Camelus bactrianus (Bactrian camel). It matches the Rfam family "tRNA". Rfam says of the family: Transfer RNA (tRNA) molecules are approximately 80 nucleotides in length. Their secondary structure includes four short double-helical elements and three loops (D, anti-codon, and T loops). Lineage: Eukaryota; Metazoa; Chordata; Mammalia; Artiodactyla; Camelidae. The record is from Rfam by way of RNAcentral. RNAcentral also lists the same sequence under 1 other name.
GGGUGUAUAGCUCCGUGGCAGAGCACGCGCUUAGCAUGCACGAGGUCCUGGGUUCCAUCCCCGGUACUUCCA